This 429-nucleotide ribosomal RNA is filed under the name Pseudomonadota bacterium. RNAcentral describes it as "Proteobacteria bacterium partial 16S ribosomal RNA". It matches the Rfam family "Bacterial small subunit ribosomal RNA", at positions 355 to 776 of the family's 1533-position model. The record is from RNAcentral. Lineage: Bacteria; Pseudomonadati; Pseudomonadota.
UGGGGAAUAUUGGACAAUGGGCGAAAGCCUGAUCCAGCCAUGCCGCGCGUGUGAAGAAGGUCUUCGGAUUGUAAAGCACUUUAAGUUGGGAGGAAGGGCAGUAAGCGAAUACCUUGCUGUUUUGACGUUACCGACAGAAUAAGCACCUGCUAACUCUGUGCCAGCAGCCGCGGUAAUACAGAGGGUGCAAGCGUUAAUCGGAAUUACUGGGCGUAAAGCGCGCGUAGGUGGUUCGUUAAGUUGAAUGUGAAAGCCCCGGGCUCAACCUGGGAACUGCAUCCAAAUCUGGCGAGCUAGAGUAGGGCAGAGGGUGGUGGAAUUUCCUGUGUAGCGGUGAAAUGCGUAGAUAUAGAAAGGAACACCAGUGGCGAGGGCGACCACCUGGGCUCAUACUGACACUGGGGUGCGAAAGAGUGGGGAGCAAACAGG